Molecule: small nuclear RNA, 79 nt
Gene: U2
Rfam family: U2 spliceosomal RNA
About the family: U2 is a small nuclear RNA (snRNA) component of the spliceosome (involved in pre-mRNA splicing). Complementary binding between U2 snRNA (in an area lying towards the 5' end but 3' to hairpin I) and the branchpoint sequence (BPS) of the intron results the bulging out of an unpaired adenosine, on the BPS, which initiates a nucleophilic attack at the intronic 5' splice site, thus starting the first of two transesterification reactions that mediate splicing.
Source: Ensembl
AUCGCUUCUCGGCCUUUUGGCUAAGAUCAAGUGUAGAAAUACUGUAACAUAUAUACAUUUUAUUGUAUCAAUACUUUUA